Molecule: long non-coding RNA, 591 nt
Filed under: Daucus carota (carrot)
Lineage: Eukaryota; Viridiplantae; Streptophyta; Magnoliopsida; Apiales; Apiaceae
Description: long non-coding RNA (DCAR_LNC005948)
Source: RNAcentral
CAACAUGUUCAGCGCUAACUUGCACUUUUCGUUUUGUUUUAACGGGAUUUUUUUGGUUGGAUCGCAGUCCGGUUCGGACCGGUACGAUUGUAGUAACUGGUCGGCUUCUUGCAGUUGUGUUCGGUACUUGACGUACUUGGCGCGUAAGAACGGCGCGUCAUGCAACACGGUAUCGACCCACUUAGGAUCCUCUUCGAGGAACAGCGUCGUGCCACCGGGAUUAAACGCGUGCCACAUUUGUGAGUCGUGACCUAGACCGAAUACGAGGAAGUUGCAUGGCGCGCGUGCGCGUAACACGUCGAAUGAUAGCCUAAUCUCGGCUUGUGACUGUUGGGGGGUCACGCGCGAGGUGGCGUAGUGGAGGAUUGUCUCGAGCUGCGUGGUUGUGGGCUCGUAUUUGGCUCCGGCGAAAGUGCAGAGGAAAGGAGUGUUGAUGUUUAAGAGAAGGGUUGAAAUGAAUAAACCUCCGGCGAUGAGAACGGCGACGCCGAUGAUUAGGUACUUUGAUUUGUCAUUGAAGAUUAAUCUUGUGUGAGCAUUUUCCUUCAUGUUUUUCAAAUAAAUUUGAAAAAAGAAAGAGAGAGAUAUGGG